GCUCUUGCAACGAUGAAGAACGCAGCGAAAUGCGAUACGUAGUGUGAAUUGCAGAAUUCCGCGAAUCAUCGAGUCUUUGAACGCAAGUUGCGCCCGAGGCUUGUCCGAGGGCAUUUCCGCUAGAGCGUC
This 129-nucleotide ribosomal RNA is filed under the name Orthotrichum stramineum. RNAcentral's name for it is "partial 5.8S ribosomal RNA". It matches the Rfam family "5.8S ribosomal RNA", at positions 24 to 154 of the family's 154-position model. From Rfam's summary of the family: 5.8S ribosomal RNA (5.8S rRNA) is a component of the large subunit of the eukaryotic ribosome. It is transcribed by RNA polymerase I as part of the 45S precursor that also contains 18S and 28S rRNA. Lineage: Eukaryota; Viridiplantae; Streptophyta; Bryopsida; Orthotrichales; Orthotrichaceae. RNAcentral also lists the same sequence under 7 other names. The record is from RNAcentral.